AGAGUUUGAUCCUGGCUCAGGAUGAACGCUAGCUACAGGCUUAACACAUGCAAGUCGAGGGGCAUCAGGAAGAAAGCUUGCUUUCUUUGCUGGCGACCGGCGCACGGGUGAGUAACACGUAUCCAACCUGCCCUUUACUCGGGGAUAGCCUUUCGAAAGAAAGAUUAAUACCCGAUGGCAUAAUGAUUCCGCAUGGUUUCAUUAUUAAAGGAUUCCGGUAAAGGAUGGGGAUGCGUUCCAUUAGGUUGUUGGUGAGGUAACGGCUCACCAAGCCUUCGAUGGAUAGGGGUUCUGAGAGGAAGGUCCCCCACAUUGGAACUGAGACACGGUCCAAACUCCUACGGGAGGCAGCAGUGAGGAAUAUUGGUCAAUGGGCGCUAGCCUGAACCAGCCAAGUAGCGUGAAGGAUGAAGGCUCUAUGGGUCGUAAACUUCUUUUAUAUAAGAAUAAAGUGCAGUAUGUAUACUGUUUUGUAUGUAUUAUAUGAAUAAGGAUCGGCUAACUCCGUGCCAGCAGCCGCGGUAAUACGGAGGAUCCGAGCGUUAUCCGGAUUUAUUGGGUUUAAAGGGAGCGUAGGUGGACUGGUAAGUCAGUUGUGAAAGUUUGCGGCUCAACCGUAAAAUUGCAGUUGAUACUGUCAGUCUUGAGUACAGUAGAGGUGGGCGGAAUUCGUGGUGUAGCGGUGAAAUGCUUAGAUAUCACGAAGAACUCCGAUUGCGAAGGCAGCUCACUGGACUGCAACUGACACUGAUGCUCGAAAGUGUGGGUAUCAAACAGGAUUAGAUACCCUGGUAGUCCACACAGUAAACGAUGAAUACUCGCUGUUUGCGAUAUACAGUAAGCGGCCAAGCGAAAGCAUUAAGUAUUCCACCUGGGGAGUACGCCGGCAACGGUGAAACUCAAAGGAAUUGACGGGGGCCCGCACAAGCGGAGGAACAUGUGGUUUAAUUCGAUGAUACGCGAGGAACCUUACCCGGGCUUAAAUUGCAGUGGAAUGAUGUGGAAACAUGUCAGUGAGCAAUCACCGCUGUGAAGGUGCUGCAUGGUUGUCGUCAGCUCGUGCCGUGAGGUGUCGGCUUAAGUGCCAUAACGAGCGCAACCCUUAUCUUUAGUUACUAACAGGUUAUGCUGAGGACUCUAGAGAGACUGCCGUCGUAAGAUGUGAGGAAGGUGGGGAUGACGUCAAAUCAGCACGGCCCUUACGUCCGGGGCUACACACGUGUUACAAUGGGGGGUACAGAAGGCAGCUAGCGGGUGACCGUAUGCUAAUCCCAAAAGCCUCUCUCAGUUCGGAUCGAAGUCUGCAACCCGACUUCGUGAAGCUGGAUUCGCUAGUAAUCGCGCAUCAGCCACGGCGCGGUGAAUACGUUCCCGGGCCUUGUACACACCGCCCGUCAAGCCAUGGGAGCCGGGGGUACCUGAAGUACGUAACCGCAAGGAUCGUCCUAGGGUAAAACUGGUGACUGGGGCUAAGUCGUAACAAGGUAGCCGUACCGGAAGGUGCGGCUG
RNAcentral lists this ribosomal RNA (1509 nucleotides) under Bacteroides fragilis. RNAcentral describes it as "bacterial SSU rRNA". It matches the Rfam family "Bacterial small subunit ribosomal RNA". Lineage: Bacteria; Pseudomonadati; Bacteroidota; Bacteroidia; Bacteroidales; Bacteroidaceae. The record is from RNAcentral.